UAGGGAAUCUUCCACAAUGGGCGCAAGCCUGAUGGAGCAACGCCGCGUGUGUGAUGAAGGCUUUCGGGUCGUAAAGCACUGUUGUAUGGGAAGAAAUGCCAAAAUAGGGAAUGAUUUUAGUUUGACGGUACCAUACCAGAAAGGGACGGCUAAAUACGUGCCAGCAGCCGCGGUAAUACGUAUGUCCCGAGCGUUAUCCGGAUUUAUUGGGCGUAAAGCGAGCGCAGACGGUUGAUUAAGUCUGAUGUGAAAGCCCGGAGCUCAACUCCGGAAUGGCAUUGGAAACUGGUUAACUUGAGUGUUGUAGAGGUAAGUGGAACUCCAUGUGUAGCGGUGGAAUGCGUAGAUAUAUGGAAGAACACCAGUGGCGAAGGCGGCUUACUGGACAACAACUGACGUUGAGGCUCGAAAGUGUGGGUAGCAAACAGGAUUAGAUACCCUGGUAGUCCACACUGUAAACGAUGAAUACUAGGUGUUAGGAGGUUUCCGCCUCUUAGUGCCGAAGCUAACGCAUUAAGUAUUCCGCCUGGGGAGUACGACCGCAAGGUUG
Molecule: ribosomal RNA, 550 nt
Filed under: uncultured bacterium
Lineage: Bacteria
Description: bacterial SSU rRNA
Rfam family: Bacterial small subunit ribosomal RNA
Source: RNAcentral